This 1433-nucleotide ribosomal RNA is filed under the name uncultured organism. Its description in RNAcentral is "16S ribosomal RNA". It matches the Rfam family "Bacterial small subunit ribosomal RNA". The record is from RNAcentral.
CAGGCUUAACACAUGCAAGUCGAGGGGCAGCAUGGUCUUAGCUUGCUAAGGCCGAUGGCGACCGGCGCACGGGUGAGUAACACGUAUCCAACCUGCCGUCUACUCUUGGACAGCCUUCUGAAAGGAAGAUUAAUACAAGAUGGCAUCAUGAGUCCGCAUGUUCACAUGAUUAAAGGUAUUCCGGUAGACGAUGGGGAUGCGUUCCAUUAGAUAGUAGGCGGGGUAACGGCCCACCUAGUCUUCGAUGGAUAGGGGUUCUGAGAGGAAGGUCCCCCACAUUGGAACUGAGACACGGUCCAAACUCCUACGGGAGGCAGCAGUGAGGAAUAUUGGUCAAUGGGCGAGAGCCUGAACCAGCCAAGUAGCGUGAAGGAUGACUGCCCUAUGGGUUGUAAACUUCUUUUAUAAAGGAAUAAAGUCGGGUAUGCAUACCCGUUUGCAUGUACUUUAUGAAUAAGGAUCGGCUAACUCCGUGCCAGCAGCCGCGGUAAUACGGAGGAUCCGAGCGUUAUCCGGAUUUAUUGGGUUUAAAGGGAGCGUAGAUGGAUGUUUAAGUCAGUUGUGAAAGUUUGCGGCUCAACCGUAAAAUUGCAGUUGAUACUGGAUAUCUUGAGUGCAGUUGAGGCAGGCGGAAUUCGUGGUGUAGCGGUGAAAUGCUUAGAUAUCACGAAGAACUCCGAUUGCGAAGGCAGCCUGCUAAGCUGCAACUGACAUUGAGGCACGAAAGUGUGGGUAUCAAACAGGAUUAGAUACCCUGGUAGUCCACACGGUAAACGAUGAAUACUCGCUGUUUGCGAUAUACGGCAAGCGGCCAAGCGAAAGCGUUAAGUAUUCCACCUGGGGAGUACGCCGGCAACGGUGAAACUCAAAGGAAUUGACGGGGGCCCGCACAAGCGGAGGAACAUGUGGUUUAAUUCGAUGAUACGCGAGGAACCUUACCCGGGCUUAAAUUGCAGAUGAAUUACGGUGAAAGCCGUAAGCCGCAAGGCAUCUGUGAAGGUGCUGCAUGGUUGUCGUCAGCUCGUGCCGUGAGGUGUCGGCUUAAGUGCCAUAACGAGCGCAACCCUUGUUGUCAGUUACUAACAGGUUCCGCUGAGGACUCUGACAAGACUGCCAUCGUAAGAUGUGAGGAAGGUGGGGAUGACGUCAAAUCAGCACGGCCCUUACGUCCGGGGCUACACACGUGUUACAAUGGGGGGUACAGAGGGCCGCUACCACGCGAGUGGAUGCCAAUCCCCAAAACCUCUCUCAGUUCGGACUGGAGUCUGCAACCCGACUCCACGAAGCUGGAUUCGCUAGUAAUCGCGCAUCAGCCACGGCGCGGUGAAUACGUUCCCGGGCCUUGUACACACCGCCCGUCAAGCCAUGGGAGCCGGGGGUACCUGAAGUGCGUAACCGCGAGGAGCGCCCUAGGGUAAAACUGGUGACUGGGG